UGGGGGUAAAGCGCGCGUAGGUGGUUUGUUAAGUUGGAUGUGAAAUCCCCGGGCUCAACCUGGGGAGGGCCUUUGAAACUGACGGGCUUGAGUUUGGUAAGGGGAAGUGGAAUUUCCUGUGUAGCGGUGAAAUGCGUAGAUAUAGGAAGGAACCCCAGUGGCGAAGGCGACCAUCUGGGCUGAAACUGACCCUGAGGGGCGAAAGCGUGGGGAGCAAACAGGGUUAGAUACCCUGGUAGUCCCCGCCGUAAACGAUGUCAACUAAGCGUUAGGGGGUUUGAGCUCUUAGUGGCGAAGUUAACGCAUUUAGUUGUCCGCCUGGGGAGUACGGCCCAAAGGUUAAAACUCAAAGGAAUUGACGGGGGCCCGCCCAAGGGGGGGGCCAUGUGGUUUAAUUUGAAACCACGCGAAAAACCCUUCCCGGGCUUUAAAUUCAUUGAAAUUCCCAAAAAAUAAUGGUUGCCUUUGGGGACAUGAAUACAGGGUCGGCAUGGGUUUUGUCCGCCCGUGUCCUGAGAAUUUUGGUUAAAUCCCGUAAAGGGGGCAAACCUUUUCUUUUGUUUCCAGCCCUUUAUGUGGGGCACUUUAAGGGGCCUGCGGGGGCCAACCGGGAGGAAGGGGGGGAGGACGUAAAGUCUUCAUGGCCCUUUCGCCCUGGGCUACACCCGGGCUCCAAUGGUCGGUACAAAGGGUGGCCAAGCCGGGAGGGGGAGCUAUUUCCAAAAAACCGUUCGUAGUCCGGAUGGCAGUCUGCAACUGGCCUGCGGGAAGUGGGAAUCGCUGGUAAUCGGGAAUCAGAAUGUCGCGGUGAAUACGUUCCCGGGCCUGGUACA
This 833-nucleotide ribosomal RNA is filed under the name Pseudomonas baetica. RNAcentral's name for it is "partial 16S ribosomal RNA". It matches the Rfam family "Bacterial small subunit ribosomal RNA", at positions 555 to 1387 of the family's 1533-position model. The record is from RNAcentral. Lineage: Bacteria; Pseudomonadati; Pseudomonadota; Gammaproteobacteria; Pseudomonadales; Pseudomonadaceae.